UGGCAGGACUCAGCUACCUGGGAUCAAGGCCUCAAAUUUCCCUCUGGAAAGGGGGAAAAUCUGGAAAGUGAGCCAAAAUUCAAGACUUUGCAAAUUACCCCAUCCUGAUCGCUCUAAAGCAGAGGAUAAUGACGGCAAAUGUGAGACCUCAGGGAUGCAGCCCAAAGCCAUUACCCCAAGAGAAAAAACGUCCUUGAUGGCUCCUAAUUUACAUUAAUAGUGCAUACAAAUUUGGUAUUGUAUUCCAAAUAUUUCUCUCUCUAACAUUUAAAUUU
Molecule: long non-coding RNA, 275 nt
Filed under: Homo sapiens (human)
Lineage: Eukaryota; Metazoa; Chordata; Mammalia; Primates; Hominidae
Description: HSALNT0096158
Source: RNAcentral